UACGUAGGGGGCUAGCGUUGUCCGGAAUCAUUGGGCGUAAAGCGCGUGUAGGCGGCCUUGUAAGUCCGUUCUGAAAGCCCGGGGCUCAACCCCGGGAGGCGGAUGGAUACUGCAAGGCUCGAGUCCGGAAGAGGCAAGUGGAAUUCCCGGUGUAGCGGUGAAAUGCGCAGAUAUCGGGAGGAACACCAAUGGCGAAGGCAGCUUGCUGGGACGGUACUGACGCUGAGACGCGAAAGCGUGGGGAGCAAACAGG
Molecule: ribosomal RNA, 253 nt
Filed under: uncultured bacterium
Lineage: Bacteria
Description: partial 16S ribosomal RNA
Rfam family: Bacterial small subunit ribosomal RNA
Source: RNAcentral